Molecule: ribosomal RNA, 495 nt
Filed under: uncultured bacterium
Lineage: Bacteria
Description: partial 16S ribosomal RNA
Rfam family: Bacterial small subunit ribosomal RNA
Source: RNAcentral
UAUGAACGCUAGCGGGAGGCCUAACACAUGCAAGCUGAGCGGUAGAGUUUCUUCGGAGACUUGAGAGCGGCGUACGGGUGCGGAACACGUGUGCAACCUGCCUUUAUCAGGGGGAUAGCCUUUCGAAAGGAAGAUUAAUACCCCAUAAUAUAUAGAGUGGCAUCACUUUAUAUUGAAAACUGAGGUGUAGAAAGGUGGGCACGCGAAAGAUUAGAUAGUUGGUGGGGUAACGGCUCGCCAAGUCGAUGAUCUUUAGGGGGCCUGAGAGGGUGGUCCCCCACACUGGUACUGAGACACGGACCAGACUCCUACGGGAGGCAGCAGUGAGGAAUAUUGGACAAUGGGUUAGCGCCUGAUCCAGCCAUCCCGCGUGAAGGACGACGGCCCUAUGGGUUGUAAACUUCUUUUGUACAGGGAUAAACCUAUUUACGUGUAAAUAGCUGAAGGUACUGUACGAAUAAGCACCGGCUAACUCCGUGCCAGCAGCCGCCGUAA